GAACGGCUAACCGCUGGAUUAGCGGAUGUCCGCUGUGUGGGUCUGAUGUGCUUUUGGCAGGAUCUUCCUAACAGUCUGCUCCUGAAAGUAUGGGAUGUACAUGAUUACCACUCUGCUGCUCUGUGCCAAGUCACUAGACCCUGGGACACAGUCCCUGUUCCUCAAGGAGCUCACAGUGUGGUGGGACAAGAAAGGUCAACUGUGAAGAGCUGGUCAAGUUCAAAGAAGCUUCCAAACCUUCCUCCAGCAAAUGACCAUCAGAGCAGAAAGGGCCUUCCCAUGGAGUUCCAACGUAAGUACCAGAUUCUAUGCCUGAUUUCAAUGUGUGUCAAGAUCUAAAGUAUCUUCAGCAAGAAGAACCUGCUAUGACUUCUCUGACACUUCUGUGAUCAACCAACAGCAUUUAUAUGGUGCACUAAGAAAAGACAGGCUCACAAAGCCCCAUCUGUAAAGAUGGUUAGUGACUAUACAAAGGUAUUGGUUAAUUAAGUGUUGCCUUUCCAUUCCAUGGAAUUUUGUGUCUAUCCACCAACAAAUAUCAUAAAGCAAAAUAUUUUACUAAUAGGGAAAAAUGUUCACCAUACAUGAAGUGAAAAAAGCAACUGAGGAAAAAUUCUACAAUAUCACCCCAAAUAUAUAUACAUAUAUUUAUAUAUAUACACACAGACUCACAAAAUACACAUUCACACAUACUGUCUUUUAAGUGGGCAGAAGGAUUACAGGCAUAUUUUUCUUCUUUGACUUUUCUGUGUUUUCCAAAUUAUAGCGCAAACUCUGCAAUCAAGAUAAAAAAAGUUGUAGGUAUUAACAAGGUAAACAUGCCACAAAGAUGUAACAUGGUGGUAUCAUUCCCUGAAGAAUGAUCUCUGUGGGGUAUAAGUAAUCCACAAAUGCUAAUCCCUCCUAUUUAAAGCUUGCAGUUUUCAACAAAUAAGUUCACAAAUUCCCAUCAAUAGCUGGCUACCUUUUUCUUCAAAAUAUGCAAAGAACAUAUAAUCUCCUCUAAAAAAAUUCACUUCAAGAAACCAAAAUUACACCAGCACUCCUACCUAAACAUCUGUAUUCAAAGUUAUAUGGUUAGUGGCUCAGGAAGCUGCAGUCUCUCAAAGCAGGUUUAUCUUUUCUAUGUGGAGUUCUUAUUUGGUUGCUUUUUGCAGACCUUUUAUCAGGAAGUGACAUCCCCUUCCAGAGAGAACUUGACCUCAAAGUGAUAUUUAAUACUUUUUCAUGCAAUUGUAAAUGGGAUUGUUUUCCUGAUUUCUCUUUUUGCUAGUUCAUUAUUUGCAUGCAGAAAGGCAACAGACAUCUGUAUAUUGUGUAGCCUGCCACUUUGUUGUAUUUAUUGUUUCUAAUAGUAUUUUACUAGAGUCUUUAGAAUUUUCUUUGUGUAUUAA
Talpa occidentalis (Iberian mole) is the source of this 1394-nucleotide long non-coding RNA. RefSeq lists it as uncharacterized. Lineage: Eukaryota; Metazoa; Chordata; Mammalia; Eulipotyphla; Talpidae. The record is from RefSeq and is a predicted model, not a curated record. The transcript is spliced from 4 exons.